AAGAUUAAGCCAUGCAUGUCUAAGUAUAAGCAACUAUACGGUGAAACUGCGAAUGGCUCAUUAAAUCAGUUAUCGUUUAUUUGAUAGUACCUUACUACAUGGAUAACCGUGGUAAUUCUAGAGCUAAUACAUGCUAAAAAACCUCGACUUCGGAAGGGGUGUAUUUAUUAGAUAAAAAACCAAUGCCCUUCGGGGCGUCCUUGGUGAAUCAUAAUAACUUAACGAAUCGCAU
This 232-nucleotide ribosomal RNA is filed under the name uncultured fungus. RNAcentral describes it as "partial 18S ribosomal RNA". It matches the Rfam family "Eukaryotic small subunit ribosomal RNA", at positions 40 to 274 of the family's 1831-position model. Lineage: Eukaryota; Fungi. The record is from RNAcentral.